UAUAUAAAAAUUUAGAAUGAAAUUGGAUUUGAUAGUAAUAAAUUUUAUAUUUAAUUUAUGAUUAUAGCUCU
Molecule: transfer RNA, 71 nt
Filed under: Hydroporus discretus
Lineage: Eukaryota; Metazoa; Arthropoda; Insecta; Coleoptera; Dytiscidae
Description: tRNA-Val
Source: RNAcentral